GGUGAACGCUGGCGGCGUGCCUAAUACAUGCGAGUAGAACGCUGAAGGAGGAGCUUGCUCUUCUGGAUGAGUUGCGAACGGGUGAGUAACGCGUAGGUAACCUGCCUGGUAGCGGGGGAUAACUAUUGGAAACGAUAGCUAAUACCGCAUGACAACAGUUAUUGCAUGAUAACUGUUUAAAAGGGGCAACUGCUCCACUACCAGAUGGACCUGCGUUGUAUUAGCUAGUUGGUGAGGUAACGGCUCACCAAGGCGACGAUACAUAGCCGACCUGAGAGGGUGAUCGGCCACACUGGGACUGAGACACGGCCCAGACUCCUACGGGAGGCAGCAGUAGGGAAUCUUCGGCAAUGGACGGAAGUCUGACCGAGCAACGCCGCGUGAGUGAAGAAGGUUUUCGGAUCGUAAAGCUCUGUUGUAAGAGAAGAACGAGUGUGAGAGUGGAAAGUUCACACUGUGACGGUAUCUUACCAGAAAGGGACGGCUAACUACGUG
This 495-nucleotide ribosomal RNA is filed under the name uncultured bacterium. Its description in RNAcentral is "partial 16S ribosomal RNA". It matches the Rfam family "Bacterial small subunit ribosomal RNA", at positions 28 to 507 of the family's 1533-position model. The record is from RNAcentral.